RNAcentral lists this ribosomal RNA (245 nucleotides) under uncultured Geobacter sp. RNAcentral's name for it is "partial 16S ribosomal RNA". It matches the Rfam family "Bacterial small subunit ribosomal RNA", at positions 524 to 768 of the family's 1533-position model. Lineage: Bacteria; Pseudomonadati; Thermodesulfobacteriota; Desulfuromonadia; Geobacterales; Geobacteraceae. The record is from RNAcentral.
UACGGGGGGUGCAAGCGUUGUUCGGAAUUAUUGGGCGUAAAGCGCGUGUAGGCGGUCUGAUUAGUCUGAUGUGAAAGCCCUGGGCUCAACCCAGGAAGUGCAUUGGAUACUGUCAGACUUGAAUACGGGAGAGGGUAGUGGAAUUCCUAGUGUAGGAGUGAAAUCCGUAGAUAUUAGGAGGAACACCGGUGGCGAAGGCGGCUACCUGGACCGAUAUUGACGCUGAGACGCGAAAGCGUGGGUAG